CCCUAUUGCUAUCGGGUUGAGACUAAGCCAUGCAAGUUGUGCGCUCCCCAGCCACGUUGGGAGAGCAGCGAACGGCUCAGUAACACGUAGUCAAUCUGCCCUUAGGACGGAGAUAACCCUGGGAAACUGGGGCUAAUAACCGAUAGAUGAAAGCGCCUGGAAUGGUCUUUCGUCUAAAAGCUUUCGGGAACAUGCUUCCGACGGCGCCUAAGGAUGAGACUGCGGCUGAUCAGGCAGUUGGUGGGGUAACGGCCCACCAAACCUAUAACCAGUACGGGCCCUGAAAGGGGGAGCCCGGAGAUGGAAACUGAGAUAAGGUUCCAGGCCCUACGGAGCGCAGCAGGCGCGAAAACUCCGCAAUGCGCGAAAGCGUGACGGGGUUAACCCGAGUGCCGUCCGAUGAGGAUGGCUUUUCCUCAGUGUAAGGAGCUGGGGGAAUAAAGGGGGGGCAAGUCUGGUGUCAGCCGCCGCGGUAAUACCAGCCCCCUGAGUGAUAGGGACGAUUAUUUAGCCUAAAGCGUCCGUAGCCGGCUUAGUAAGUCUUUCGUUAAAUCUGACGACUCAAUCGCCAGCUCGCGGGAGAUACUGCUAGGCUAGAGGGCGGGAGAGGUUGACGGUAGUCCCGGAGUAGGGGUGAAAUCCUAUAAUCCCGGGAGGACCACCAGUGGCGAAGGCGGUCAACUAGAACGCGCCUGACGGUGAUGGACGAAAGCUGGGGGAGCGAACCGGAUUAGACACCCGGGUAGUCCCAGCUGUAAACGAUGCAAGCUAGGUGUUGGUGUAGCUACGGGCUACUCCAGUGCCGCAGAGAAGUCGUUAAGCUUGCCGCUUGGGAAGUACGGCCGCAAGGCUGAAACUUAAAGGAAUUGGCGGGGGAGCACCACAAGGGGUGAAGCCUGCGGUUC
Molecule: ribosomal RNA, 905 nt
Filed under: uncultured archaeon
Lineage: Archaea
Description: bacterial SSU rRNA
Rfam family: Archaeal small subunit ribosomal RNA
Source: RNAcentral